Molecule: long non-coding RNA, 2178 nt
Organism: Hermetia illucens (black soldier fly)
Lineage: Eukaryota; Metazoa; Arthropoda; Insecta; Diptera; Stratiomyidae
Exons: 3
Source: RefSeq, a predicted model, not a curated record
GGGUCACUGCCGUUGCACUUGGCCAGGAAGGACUGCAGUUUGGGUUAAAAUUAUGCACAAAAGGGAGCUUGGGUUCCAGCCAGGUACCAGCACCAACACGGAACUGCUUCGGCCGCAGGACGAGUACUCAGGGAAAACGUGCAGAUUCCCGAAGCACUUGACAAGAUUCCACGGGGUCUGGGAGCGACAAAUUUCGUAUUCCUGCUCUGGUUUGUUGACGACGGGAUAGAUAGGGAAAAUCAAAAGUUCCCGACUCCGAAAUGUAGGUCUCUAGGCCACACUCCUCUCUUACACUCAACUAUACAACAAACACCAUCGUACCUACUUCCCAGAGCGGCGGAGUAGAUGGUGCGCGCCAUGUAAAAAUUCUUAACCCAGACCCAGUCAACAGUAGUCAUGGACACGGACACGGGCAGGAACGCAAAUUGUGCUUUCUCGAAGAAUACGCGAAGAACAAGGACAGACAGGUUUCUAAGCCAGACCAGGAGAGUCUCGCCACCCCACACACACUCAGCAGACCAGAACCAGAGAAACCCCACUAAGCUAGUGCCGGCCUGAAGCAACCAGACACAAAGGAGGAAGAAGUCUAGCGAAAAUAUGGUCACAGAACGAUCAAUUGCCCGUAAUAGCACGGAGACGGAGAGCCGCAAUUACGACUUCAGCAGGAGCCAUAAAACCCAAGGCAAGUAGCAAUCAGACAUGAAAAUUCUACUUCAAUUUUCCGCUGUUCUCUAGAGUCGCGACAGUCCAUGAAGCCAAUUUGGCCGUGCACUCUUCAGGGUGCCUAAGCAGCGCUACGAUAACACCAGGCGGCCUACAAUCCUCUCUAUCUGGCAGCUGCGAAACAUUGCACCAUCUCAGUGUCGAGAUACUUCUCUGUACGUUUUUUAGAUAUCCCCUAAAAAGCUUCUUACCUCCUCGCAAAUCGCAAAGCGUAAACUGUAAACACAUGCACACAACACGAGAUUGGAAUAAUGGAAACUCGUGCUUAGGCCGACUGGUUCCUAUAAAGUUUUUUCCGCGUUUCCACGACUCUCUGUUGUGUGUACGUUGGGACUGCGACACGCGGAAUCCACUUCAAGUGCUUUUCUUGGUUAGUUGUUUUGCCUAUGGUCGAUGGUAAUCUUCCUGUCUACUGUCGCUCUGGAGUGGUGUUCUCUACAUUAGCACAAUAAUUAGAGGAUUUAUAUGCGAAAAUGGAAGUACAGCUGAUAGGGGAGUGCAGCGCUAUGUUGGAUAGCUCCGACAACUCAUCAGGUGCUACCACGCAUAGAUCACAAAAAUAUAUUUGUCUCUUUCCAUGUGUAUGAUCAAUCGACAUGCAUGGACGACCAGACUCGAAUUCUGCUUUAAUUAUCACAUAUUCUGACUUAUCGCUAACCCAGUUCAACAAACAAGAUAACGAUAGCAAAAAACAGCCUCAAACAGUGAAAGUCUGCGUUCCAGGUGUAAAGGGGCUCGACUAUUCACUUCUGUAAAUGAAUUUGGGGUGACAUUUAACUAUUUCAAAAAUUUGGAUAGCUAAGUAUCGAAGAGCCUUCAAUGGUAUCGUCACGCAAUCCGCGCUGACGAGAACUCACUAGCUAAGAUUUUUCUGAAUAUCCAAAUCGAUGGGAAGCGAUCCAAAGGCCGACGCAAAAGCGAUGGUUUCAUGCACUGGAUGAAGAUUUGAGGACCCUUCUGCUUCGCCCAAGCCAAGUUUACGACCAAGACCAGUGGAAAAUCUGAUCUAGACGAACCGACCUCAUUGCCGAAGGGGGACGAAGGCUUUUGAUUAGAUUUUUUUUUAUAACAGUUAAAAACAGGUUCCUGUUGAUAUAAACACAUCAUUUCGUGUUAAAAUUAUAAAUUGGGUUUACAUUUUUUAUUCAAAUUACCCGCAACCUUGUCAUGGUAGGAAGGUUUAGUGGUGGGUGACUUCUGAAGAACCAGGAGGAACCCUAAAUUCUAGGGGUAAUUUAAAAACUCUAAUCCAUGGUAUCGCUAGCGGAGUAACAGGCACCCCGGACGACUCAUCAGAUUAACAAGCUUUGCGUACCACAAAGACUGAUAACUACCACCAUAUUCGUGAAGCCACAUACGGACCAUUCCAUAAAAAAAAAACAAGUCAGGAAACCGGAAGCUAGACGCUUUAGGUAUAAAAGGUUUUGUGUUUGCCUAUGUGAGGAACGAUGAGUA